Molecule: long non-coding RNA, 2286 nt
Filed under: Capra hircus (goat)
Lineage: Eukaryota; Metazoa; Chordata; Mammalia; Artiodactyla; Bovidae
Description: lncRNA (ENSCHIG00000001940.1)
Source: RNAcentral
CUGUGCUGGUGACUAAUAAAGGCUCCUGACGUUUCUUGCCGAGUCUGGGAAGCCAGAAAUAAAAGCCACUUCCAGCUAGGUGUGCUCCAGCCUGAACAUGGACCAUUCACAGGAGGCACUGGUCCAGCCAUGCGGCACCUAUGGACAGGCACUGCUGUGCUUGGUGUCAGCUGCAGCCGUCCCAGGGCCUUUGAAUGACAGCCAAAGGUGUCUCCUCACCACCGGCAGAGCAAUCAUUCUCCAGACGUCAGGCAGACAUUUUCACAGCUCUCCCCACACUAGAGAUUUCUAGUUCUCCUGAAGACCCAGGGUAAGAGAUUGUGCUGUCACUGGACAGAACAAGAUAGAAACAGCAUCUCAAGAGUGCCAGGGAGCACAUGGGCAAGCAGCAGGGAGCGAUGACGACUGUGAUGGACCACACACUGCCACUGUCUCAGACACGGAGCCCGUCACCAACUUGCUCCUCCUCCAAGAUCAGUUCCUCCAGUGACCGUCUCUACCAAGAGAAUGAAGAGCGCUGGACCAGAUACCACAGGACAUUCCUGAUGCCUGAGACACAGUCCCUUUCUUCAAAAUACUAUCUAAGUGUAGGAAAGAGGAACAUGCAGAGAACACAUGGAGAAAAGCCACCAGAAAGUUCCAGGGAAGAUGUUAUGAAAGUCUGGGGAAGACAGAACUUAUUUCACUUGGUUAAGAUCGUCUUGAGGAAAGAGACUGUCCCCAGGAUCUAGCAUGGUGCCUGGAAAAUAGCGAGAAUGAACAGAUGUUGCUUGGCAUGUGCAUGGAGAGAUCUCACUGAACUUGUUGAGGUUCUCUGGAACUGGCUUCUAGAAAUCUGAAGGGAGGGAGGGAGAAGCAGUGGGGCGCUCUGUGAGGCAAAGGGCUGAAGCGGGGGACCAUCUGUGAUGGGGGAGCUGAUGAGGUGUGUGGGUUUGGCUCCAUGUGACUGAUGUUAAACACCGAGGUGCCUCUGAUUGUUAUGACGGGAUCACCUAUGCCAAAGGACAGAGGAGGUGGAGAUGCAGAGAGAAGAAGUGGUCUCUGACCUGCACUUACCCUGUGCUGAUAAGGACCGAAGGCACAUGGUAAUCUCUCUCUACGUAUGUCCAGCAUUGGGAGAGCAGCCUGGCACCUCUGUCAGCUGGAGCUGAUCAGGUGUUUCCCCAAUAGGUGUGAGUAUUCGGGGGGCGUGAUUAAGCCCAGGAAGGUCAACACUCAGGGAAUGAUGAGCUGCCUGGUAAGGGUGUCCUCCCACAAAAUCUGAAGAACCUUUCCUCAGGAGGGAAAUACCUCUGCAAUCUCCCACGACACUUGUGGAAGCAGAAGAUACUGCCUCUAUCUCUGUGCACAGUUGGGCUCCAUAGGGUCCCAUCGGGACCAGCAGCUUUGCCCCUAAAAGGAAGUCCCCAGGCCUUUAUCACAGGAAUGGCAUUUUCCUACUUAUCUAAAUGUAAAGAGCCUCCCAGGGUCCUUUUCUUCUUAAGUCCAUGUAUGAUUUGUGGAGUUAAAAUUGUAGACACAUCUCAGGCAGCAGGUUUAUUACUAUUAUUGAAACCUUCCUGUGAUCAUAGGCAAACAAUAAAAAUAAACCUCCUUUGAACCUAAUUAUUUUGAAGAUCAGGAACUUCUUUGGGUUAUUACUCUCCUUAUCUAUUGACUGAAUCCUUUUUCUGAAAUUCUAAUUUUCUAAUCUUUAUUCAGAUUCUCAGAGGAAUUCCCUGGUAUUGCCCACAAGACCAAAUGUUUGUGGUACAUUAGAAAAUCAGAUUGUGUACAGCUGAUGGGGCUAUCACAAUAUUUCUGGAACCUCCAAUUAAUACAUUAUCUUGUCUUGUCUUGGACAAAGAAGAAUGAUUGAAUAUGAGGAUUAGAGUUAGUGUUAGUUUAUGAUAAAAUUUCUGCCUGAGGAGUACCUAAUUUUAUAACAGCACAAAGAGAAUGAUCAUUUGUAUAAAAUCUUUCUCCAUUCCUUUUUGUUUGCUUGUUUGUGGUUUUUCUCACUCUGAUACUGUUUUCCCAUUAAUUUCCAUCUAUGAUAAAGAGUUCUGUAUUCAUUGCUCAAGUUAUGGUCUUUUUAGAAAAUCUUGAUUCCCCUAAAUCUUGCCAGAUCUCUGAAUUGGAGGUGAGGUUCAAUGAAAACUGAGAUGAAGAAUUAAGGAGUUGAAGAAGAACCUUCAUUUCACUGUGGGUAGAGACCACCUGGUCUUUUCAUCCUGUUAUAGUGUCAUUUUUAAAAAGAAAAUCCUAUGAUUGGUGAGAGUAGAAAUUUCUCUAACCACUCCGAGG